GACGAACGCUGGCGGCGUGCUUAACACAUGCAAGUCGAACGGUGAAGCGCCUUCCUUUUUGGUGGGUGUGGAUGAGUGGCGAACGGGUGAGUAACACGUGAGUAACCUGCCCCCUUCUUCUGGAUAACCGCAUGAAAGUGUGGCUAAUACGGGAUAUUCUGGGUCUGUCGCAUGAUGGGUCUGGGAAAGAUAUUGUUUCGGUGGGGGAUGGGCUCGCGGCCUAUCAGCUUGUUGGUGGGGUGAUGGCCUACCAAGGCGGUGACGGGUAGCCGGCCUGAGAGGGUGGACGGUCACACUGGGACUGAGACACGGCGCAGACUCCUACGGGAGGCAGCAGUGGGGAAUAGUGCACAAUGGGCGCAAGCCUGAUGCAGCGACGCCGCGUGAGGGAUGGAGGCCUGCGGGUUGUGAACCUCUUUCGCCAGUGAGGCAGGCCUGCCUCGUUUGUGGGUGGGUUGACGGUAGCUGGAUAAGAAGCGCCGGCUAACUACGUG
This 494-nucleotide ribosomal RNA is filed under the name uncultured bacterium. RNAcentral describes it as "partial 16S ribosomal RNA". It matches the Rfam family "Bacterial small subunit ribosomal RNA", at positions 28 to 507 of the family's 1533-position model. The record is from RNAcentral.